This 289-nucleotide ribosomal RNA is filed under the name Clostridioides difficile. Its description in RNAcentral is "partial 23S ribosomal RNA". It matches the Rfam family "Bacterial large subunit ribosomal RNA", at positions 624 to 900 of the family's 2925-position model. The record is from RNAcentral. Lineage: Bacteria; Bacillati; Bacillota; Clostridia; Peptostreptococcales; Peptostreptococcaceae.
UAUGAGAUGCACGAGUUACGUUAAGUAGCAAGGUUAAGCACUUAAGGUGUGGAGCCGUAGCGAAAGCGAGUUUUAACUGAGCGUUCAGUUACUUGACGGAGACCCGAAACCGGGCGACCUACCCAUGAGCAGGAUGAAGCGAAAGUAAAAUUUCGUGGAGGUCCGAACCCACGAGCGUUGAAAAGCUCGGGGAUGACUUGUGGGUAGCGGUGAAAUUCCAAUCGAGCCCGGAGAUAGCUGGUUCUCCCCGAAAUAGCUUUAGGGCUAGCCUCAAGGUGAGAGAUACGGA